Molecule: long non-coding RNA, 630 nt
Organism: Daphnia carinata
Lineage: Eukaryota; Metazoa; Arthropoda; Branchiopoda; Diplostraca; Daphniidae
Exons: 3
Source: RefSeq, a predicted model, not a curated record
GCUAUCGAUAGUGGAUCAGUGUCGGAGUCAUUAACGUGAUGUUGGUCUUCGAAUGUGCUGUAUUUUCGAAAUGGCUUUUCACGACCACAGAACCUCGUGGUCGUCCGUGAAACAAAAAGUAAAACGAAAGGGGGAAUAUAAUAAUAACCCUGCCUGCUGCCAAGAAAAUAGAGACCACUUCUGCAGUCACGAAGGGUCGGAACGAGGUCAACCCGCGGCUUUUAUUCAUCCUGUUGUUUUGGCAUUUGAAAAAAAAAAGAAGAAAAAAAAGCCAUUUCAAAAUCGAAGGCUUGUUCCUCGUCGUCGACUUCGUUUUUCUUUUCUUGUUGUCAGAAAUCCCCUCAUGUCUGCCCGUCACUAUCUCGUGUGUUCUAUAUUGAGAAAAGCACGCGGGAUUUGUCUGCACGUUAAGAAACAGAUACGAAGCAAAUAGCUUGCAGGGGCACACAUGUGUUCAUGAAUGAGCGCCAUGAAACGAAACGAUGAUGAUAAUUGGGCGUCAAACCCAAAGUAUUUCCGUAGCUACCGGGAUGCUUUCGUUUCGCCUACGUUUUUCCUUCCAUUCUUCUGAAGCUUUGUGUUUCACAAUUCAAAGAAGAUGUUCUUCCUGAUUAACUUUUCAUCUCGCAA